This 338-nucleotide long non-coding RNA is filed under the name Mytilus galloprovincialis (Mediterranean mussel). Lineage: Eukaryota; Metazoa; Mollusca; Bivalvia; Mytilida; Mytilidae. The record is from RNAcentral.
GGAGAACUUAAAUAUAGAAAUAAUGACUACAUUUGUAAAUAGUACGUGAUGUUUGGUAACGUACAUUUUUACUAACAGUAAUAUAUAGAGCGUUCGUAUCAUUAGAUGAUAUUUUCGGAAAAUAGUUGUGCUUUCUGUCAAUUGUUCAAAAAAGACAUUUUUCUUUUUCUAGAAAACCGAAUCAGAACAGCCAACAUCGUCUAUGACCAUUCUAAGCUUGUCGGAGGGAUUGUAACCAUUUAUCGAAUAACACAAUUAGAUAAUCAGAAACUACUUUUUCCUGUUUUAGUUUGUUUGGAUUUUUUUAGCUUUUUUUAUUCUAUUUUAAUGUGUAAAAU